CAGUAGCCGCGGGAAUACGAAGGGUGCAAGCGUUAAUCGGAAUUACUGGGCGUAAAGCGCGCGUAGGUGGUUUGGUAAGAUGGAUGUGAAAUCCCCGGGCUCAACCUGGGAACUGCAUCCAUAACUGCCUGACUAGAGUACGGUAGAGGGUGGUGGAAUUUCCUGUGUAGCGGUGAAAUGCGUAGAUAUAGGAAGGAACACCAGUGGCGAAGGCGACCACCUGGACUGAUACUGACACUGAGGUGCGAAAGCGUGGGGAGCAAACAGGAUUAGAUACCCCGGUAGUCCCUGUCUCUUAUAC
This 301-nucleotide ribosomal RNA is filed under the name uncultured bacterium. RNAcentral describes it as "partial 16S ribosomal RNA". It matches the Rfam family "Bacterial small subunit ribosomal RNA", at positions 509 to 807 of the family's 1533-position model. The record is from RNAcentral.